This 460-nucleotide ribosomal RNA is filed under the name uncultured bacterium. RNAcentral describes it as "partial 16S ribosomal RNA". It matches the Rfam family "Bacterial small subunit ribosomal RNA", at positions 338 to 795 of the family's 1533-position model. The record is from RNAcentral.
CCUACGGGAGGCAGCAGUGAGGAAUAUUGGUCAAUGGACGAGAGUCUGAACCAGCCAAGUAGCGUGAAGGAUGACUGCCCUAUGGGUUGUAAACUUCUUUUAUAAAGGAAUAAAACGAGGCACGUGUGCCUUUUUGCAUGUACUUUAUGAAUAAGGAUCGGCUAACUCCGUGCCAGCAGCCGCGGUAAUACGGAGGAUCCGAGCGUUAUCCGGAUUUAUUGGGUUUAAAGGGAGCGUAGGUGGGUUGUUAAGUCAGUGGUGAAAGUUUGCGGCUCAACCGUAAAAUUGCAAUUGAUACUGUCAGUCUUGAGUACAGUUGAGGUAAGCGGAAUUCGUGGUGUAGCGGUGAAAUGCUUAGAGAUCACGCAGAACCCCGAUUGCGAAGGCAGCUUACUAAGCUGUGACUGACAUUGAUGCUCGAAAGUGUGGGGAUCAAACAGGAUUAGAUACCCGUGUAGUC